RNAcentral lists this ribosomal RNA (498 nucleotides) under uncultured bacterium. RNAcentral's name for it is "bacterial SSU rRNA". It matches the Rfam family "Bacterial small subunit ribosomal RNA", at positions 875 to 1380 of the family's 1533-position model. The record is from RNAcentral.
GGGGAGUACGACCGCAAGGUUGAAACUCAAAGGAAUUGACGGGGGCCCGCACAAGCAGUGGAGUAUGUGGUUUAAUUCGACGCAACGCGAAGAACCUUACCAAGUCUUGACAUCCCUUGACAGACAUAGAAAUAUGUAUUCUCUUCGGAGCAAGGAGACAGGUGGUGCAUGGUUGUCGUCAGCUCGUGUCGUGAGAUGUUGGGUUAAGUCCCGCAACGAGCGCAACCCUUAUGGUCAGUUACUACGCAAGAGGACUCUGGCCAGACUGCCGUUGACAAAACGGAGGAAGGUGGGGAUGACGUCAAAUCAUCAUGCCCUUUAUGACUUGGGCUACACACGUACUACAAUGGCGUUAAACAAAGAGAAGCAAGACCGCGAGGUGGAGCAAAACUCAGAAACAACGUCCCAGUUCGGACUGCAGGCUGCAACUCGCCUGCACGAAGUCGGAAUUGCUAGUAAUCGUGGAUCAGCAUGCCACGGUGAAUACGUUCCCGGGCC